GGGAUGUGGCUCUGUAGAUAGAGUACUUGCCUAGCAUGUAUGAGUCCCUGGGUUCAAUCCCUAGCACCACCA
Molecule: transfer RNA, 72 nt
Filed under: Marmota monax (woodchuck)
Lineage: Eukaryota; Metazoa; Chordata; Mammalia; Rodentia; Sciuridae
Description: tRNA.Ala
Rfam family: tRNA
About the family: Transfer RNA (tRNA) molecules are approximately 80 nucleotides in length. Their secondary structure includes four short double-helical elements and three loops (D, anti-codon, and T loops). Further hydrogen bonds mediate the characteristic L-shaped molecular structure. tRNAs have two regions of fundamental functional importance: the anti-codon, which is responsible for specific mRNA codon recognition, and the 3' end, to which the tRNAs corresponding amino acid is attached (by aminoacyl-tRNA synthetases). tRNAs cope with the degeneracy of the genetic code in two manners: having more than one tRNA (with a specific anti-codon) for a particular amino acid; and 'wobble' base-pairing, i.e. permitting non-standard base-pairing at the 3rd anti-codon position.
Source: RNAcentral